GUUUUCCUGGGAUGUGUGACUUUUAGUGCUGAAGUCAAGACAUUCACCCUGCCUCCCAUGCUCCCUGUGCUUACCUUCCCCACAGUGGGGAGCAUUCUACUAUAACUGUUUGCUUACUUGUAGCACUAGAUGCUGUCAGUUCCCUGAAAGCAGGCAUAGGGCUGUUCAUCUCUGUAAUCCUGCAGCAUACCCAGCACAGGUCUGGCACAUGGCAAAUAUUAAAAACCAUAACUGGAAUAGGUGCAUGCAUGUGUGCUAAGUCACUUCAGUCGUGUCCAACUCUUUGCAAUCACAUGGACUGUAGCCACCAGGCUUCUCUGUCCAUGGGAUUCUCCAGGCAAAAAUACUGGAGUCAGUUGUCCUUCCCUUCUCCAGGGGAUCUUCCUAACCCAGGGAUGGAACCUGUGUCUCUUACCUGUCCUGCCUUGCAGGCUUCUCAACCCUUUCUUGAACCAGUGUGUGGAUCCUGAGAUUUGCUCUGCUGCCUCCACUGCCAGAACCCAGAGCAGCUAACGUAUGUUUGGCGGAGGUUCCUGCAUACAGAUCAGGACACUUUUCCUUGCUGCUCCGGUCACCGUUUACCUUUAGUUACUGUCAUAAAGGGGCUGCCCAGGUGGCUCGGUGAUAAAGAAUCUGCCUAUCAAUGCAAGAGACCCAAGAGACUUGGGUUUGAUCCCUAAAUCCAGAAGAUCCCCUGGAGUAGGAAAUGGCAACUUGCUCCAGUGUUCUUGUCUGGAAAUUCCCAUGGACAGAGGAGCCUGCCAGGCCCCAGUCCAUGGGGUCACAAAGGGUCAGACGUGACUGAGUGACUGAGCAUACACCCACUGACAUAAAGACCCUAAGGCCUAGGAAAUAUAUUUUUGUUAUUGUUCAUUUCAUUGAGAGUUUACGUGUCAAGCACUAUGCUUUGCUCUUUCAUUCAUUUUCAGAGUUAAUAUUCAAAAUAGCCCUCAAGGUUUUAGCCCUACAAGCACUACAAUUGCCACCAUUUCCCAAAUGAGGGCCUUGAAGCUCAGAGGAGUUAAGUAACUUGCCCCAAAUGCCACAGUUGGUUACAGGUGACUUGAGGCUAGAACCCAAGUCAGGAGUUUUUGUUUUUAACCACUGCCUUAUACUGCCAGAAGCUGUCUGCGGUAUUGGAGGGAGGCAAGCUGGAGGACAUUGCCAUCAAGUUCAUAGCACACAAACUGUAGCCAGGGACACAUGGGGCUUUUGUCCCUUACCCACAAACCAUCCUGAGCCUGGACGCUUCUGGGGGAAAGGAAGCAUAUGUCACUGAAUUUCAGGGAAAACGGACCCAGUGGUUU
Bos taurus (domestic cattle) is the source of this 1307-nucleotide long non-coding RNA. NCBI's taxonomy places the organism in Eukaryota, Metazoa, Chordata, Mammalia, Artiodactyla, Bovidae. The record is from Ensembl.